AUCCACAUUGUACAGUGGAUCACUUGGCUCGUAUAUCGAUGAAGAACGCAGCACACUGCGGUAAUUUCUGUGAACUGCAGGACACACUGAACAACGAAAUUUCGAACGCACCAUUUCAGUUGUAAAUAACACGUUUACAACUACAUCCGACUGAGAAUCAGUAUCAAUACUUAAUUAG
This 178-nucleotide ribosomal RNA is filed under the name Oligacanthorhynchus tortuosus. RNAcentral's name for it is "5.8S ribosomal RNA". The stretch from base 4 to 160 matches the Rfam family "5.8S ribosomal RNA". From Rfam's summary of the family: 5.8S ribosomal RNA (5.8S rRNA) is a component of the large subunit of the eukaryotic ribosome. It is transcribed by RNA polymerase I as part of the 45S precursor that also contains 18S and 28S rRNA. Functionally, it is thought that 5.8S rRNA may be involved in ribosome translocation. Lineage: Eukaryota; Metazoa; Acanthocephala; Archiacanthocephala; Oligacanthorhynchida; Oligacanthorhynchidae. The record is from RNAcentral.